UAUAAUACCAAUAGUUAGGCCAAGACUAAGGUAAAAAAAGUUACUUUGGGCUGAUUUUGGGCUCAGUUGGAUCACAAGCGGAAUCAGAACUAGGAUUGCCUUCUAAAUGGGCUUUGCUUCAACUACUAUCCGGACUGGGUCUGGAAUGGAUUGGUUUGGUGCACUCACGAGUUAAGCAAAACUCAACCUCCUUUCAAUCGCAGCGUUUCAUGCUGCCAUGAGAACCUAUCUUCAAAAAAAUUUAUUUCAUUUCAGACUCUGGUUCUCCCCCCUUUAAUGCCAAAGCUCUCCCUUUCCUUUACAGAUGGGCAAGGCCAUACUUCAAUUCCCAGAUCUCGAUGAACACCCAUCGCUGCCACCACCAUUGUCACCAUUCUCCGCCUCAGAGCAUUGCCCACACCUUCAUUACCUACUUCCUCUGUUUCUUUUCUACUCAAGCGAUCCAGUGUAUUCAAGUUCUCGAGAGCUCAUGGUGGCCCUUUGGAAAUCGAAGCCUCAAAGCAGAAAAACUACUGCCAUUUCCUCUGUACGAAUUAUUCUUCUGCUGAAUUGUUGUUGGGUGAUAUGGACUGUGGGUGUGGGAUUUUCUGUAAUAGGUUUGGGUGUUGGGGUUUGUAUCUGGGUCGAUUGGAACUGAGUGACUACUGAACCAAAAAGCGAAGCUUCUUUGCUUCUGGAUUUUUACUAUUGCUGGGCCUCCUGUGUUGAUGAUUGGAUUUUCCUUCCUGGAACUUGGUUUUCUAGGAUUGGGAACUAGGCUGAUGGAUUUUCUCGUUGUGAAUUGUGCUCCCUUUGUUUGUUUGAUGGUUGACUGAGUUUAUGGAUUUGUUUUGGCUGUGAUAAGAGUUCAAGAUGAUAACAGCUUCCCAGUUAAAAAGAAUUUGCUUUCAUUAUCAUUGAAAUUUCAUCUUCAACAUAAGUAUGAUCAAAUCUGAAAUUUUCAAAAAUCAGAUUGUUUAUAAUGUUCACUUAUCCGGUUCAUAAAAAAUUAUUAAUGAAAUAAAAU
This 1006-nucleotide long non-coding RNA is filed under the name Durio zibethinus. RNAcentral's name for it is "long non-coding RNA (DZIB_LNC001988)". Lineage: Eukaryota; Viridiplantae; Streptophyta; Magnoliopsida; Malvales; Malvaceae. The record is from RNAcentral.